UACGGAGGGAGCAAGCGUUGUUCGGAUUUACUGGGCGUAAAGGGCGCGUAGGCGGGCAGCACAAGUCAGUUGUGAAAUCUCCGGGCUUAACUCGGAAAGGUCAACUGAUACUGUGCGACUAGAGUGCAGAAGGGGCAACUGGAAUUCUCGGUGUAGCGGUGAAAUGCGUAGAUAUCGAGAGGAACACCUGCGGCGAAGGCGGGUUGCUGGGCUGACACUGACGCUGAUGCGCGAAAGCCAGGGGAGCGAACGGG
Molecule: ribosomal RNA, 254 nt
Filed under: uncultured bacterium
Lineage: Bacteria
Description: partial 16S ribosomal RNA
Rfam family: Bacterial small subunit ribosomal RNA
Source: RNAcentral